RNAcentral lists this transfer RNA (71 nucleotides) under Marmota monax (woodchuck). RNAcentral's name for it is "tRNA.Ala". The stretch from base 6 to 66 matches the Rfam family "tRNA", at positions 6 to 65 of the family's 71-position model. From Rfam's summary of the family: Transfer RNA (tRNA) molecules are approximately 80 nucleotides in length. Their secondary structure includes four short double-helical elements and three loops (D, anti-codon, and T loops). The record is from RNAcentral. Lineage: Eukaryota; Metazoa; Chordata; Mammalia; Rodentia; Sciuridae.
GAGGCUGUGGCUCAGUGGUAGAGCGCUCACCUAGCAUGUGUGAGGCACUGAGUUCCACCCUUAGCACUACA